UGGAGGAAAGCAGGGGAUCGUAAGACCUUGCGCUUUUGGAGCGGCCGAUGCCUGAUUAGCUAGUUGGUGGGGUAAAAGCCUACCAAGGCAACGAUCAGUAGUUGGUCUGAGAGGACGGCCAGCCACACUGGGACUGAGGCACGGCCCAGACUCCUACGGGAGGCAGCAGUGGGGAAUUUUGGACAAUGGGCGCAAGCCUGAUCCAGCAAUGCCGCGUGAGUGAAGAAGGCCUUCGGGUUGUAAAGCUCUUUCAGUCGAGAAGAAAAGAUUGUGACGAAUAAUCACAAUUCAUGACGGUAUCGACAGAAGAAGCACCGGCUAACUACGUGCCAGCAGCCGCGGUAAUACGUAGGGUGCAAGCGUUAAUCGGAAUUACUGGGCGUAAAGGGUGCGCAGGCGGCUUUGUAAGUCAGAUGUGA
RNAcentral lists this ribosomal RNA (419 nucleotides) under uncultured ammonia-oxidizing beta proteobacterium. RNAcentral's name for it is "bacterial SSU rRNA". It matches the Rfam family "Bacterial small subunit ribosomal RNA", at positions 197 to 597 of the family's 1533-position model. The record is from RNAcentral. Lineage: Bacteria; Pseudomonadati; Pseudomonadota; Betaproteobacteria.